This 494-nucleotide ribosomal RNA is filed under the name uncultured bacterium. Its description in RNAcentral is "partial 16S ribosomal RNA". It matches the Rfam family "Bacterial small subunit ribosomal RNA", at positions 28 to 507 of the family's 1533-position model. The record is from RNAcentral.
GACGAACGCUGGCGGCGCGCUUAACACAUGCAAGUCGAACGGAAAGGCCUGCUUUCCCUUGUGGAUUGCGGGUACUCGAGUGGCGAACGGGUGAGUAACACGUGAGUGAUCUGCCCCCAACUUGGGUAUAAGCCUGGGAAACUGGGUCUAAUUCCCGAUAGGACUGCAGGGUGGUGCCUGUGGUGGAAAACGAUUUUCUAGUGGUUGGGGAUGAGCUCGCGGCCUAUCAGCUUGUUGGUGGGGUAAUGGCCUACCAAGGCGGCGACGGGUAGCCGGCCUGAGAGGGUGGACGGCCACAUUGGGACUGAGAUACGGCCCAGACUCCUACGGGAGGCAGCAGUGGUGAAUAUGGCACGAUGGGCGGAAGCCUGAUGCAGCGACGCCGCGUGGGGGAUGACGGCCUUCGGGUGGUAAACUCCUUUCGACAGCGAGGAAGCCACCUGGUUGGAAGGGUGGUGACGGUAGUGGGAGAAGAAGCACCGGCUAACUACGUG